GGACUUCGCUUACACUUCCCUCCGGUCGUCGUCGUCGAUCAUCCGGUGGCCGCAGUUCAUGUCGUCCUCGUUCUUAUCGACGAGGUGGGCUCCAAGUGGAGUACUGAUGAAUUGGGACCCACAGUGGUUCUUGAGGUGGCCUGAUCUGGAUUUCUCGAUAGUAGACGACGUUGUUUGGAGCUUGAUCACAGCAUUUGAGUCCGUGGCUCUAGUGUCUAUGCUUUGCUUCUUCUUUCUCUUCUGUGGCUGCACCGUUUAAUCUCGUUUACCGCGUGAAUUAACAGUAGAAUGUUGUAGAAGAUGAAGUGUUCGGAAUCUGAGAUCACCGGAGGGUUUGGUGACGGAGUUAACGAGGGCUGUUGCCUGGUAGAAGAUCAGGACUUGGUUGUAGAGGUAGAUGAGUGAGCACGUGAAGUUUUCUUUUUGCCUGUUAUUUCUUCUUUGUUUUUUUGGGUUGGGUUUUAGAUGUGAGAGCCAAUACAGGAUGGC
RNAcentral lists this unclassified non-coding RNA (489 nucleotides) under Hevea brasiliensis (rubber tree). Lineage: Eukaryota; Viridiplantae; Streptophyta; Magnoliopsida; Malpighiales; Euphorbiaceae. The record is from RNAcentral.